AGUGAACGCUGGCGGUAGGCCUAACACAUGCAAGUCGAACGGCAGCACAGUAAGAGCUUGCUCUUACGGGUGGCGAGUGGCGGACGGGUGAGGAAUACAUCGGAAUCUACUUUUUCGUGGGGGAUAACGUAGGGAAACUUACGCUAAUACCGCAUACGACCUACGGGCGAAAGCAGGGGAUCUUCGGACCUUGCGCGAUUGAAUGAGCCGAUGUCGGAUUAGCUAGUUGGCGGGGUAAAGGCCCACCAAGGCGACGAUCCGUAGCUGGUCUGAGAGGAUGAUCAGCCACACUGGAACUGAGACACGGUCCAGACUCCUACGGGAGGCAGCAGUGGGGAAUAUUGGACAAUGGGCGUAAGCCUGAUCCAGCCAUACCGCGUGGGUGAAGAAGGCCUUCGGGUUGUAAAGCCCUUUUGUUGGGAAAGAAAAGCAGCAGGUUAAUACCCCGCUGUUCUGACGGUACCCAAAGAAUAAGCACCGGCUAACUUCGUG
This 492-nucleotide ribosomal RNA is filed under the name uncultured bacterium. RNAcentral describes it as "partial 16S ribosomal RNA". It matches the Rfam family "Bacterial small subunit ribosomal RNA", at positions 29 to 507 of the family's 1533-position model. The record is from RNAcentral.